Molecule: ribosomal RNA, 465 nt
Filed under: Vreelandella stevensii
Lineage: Bacteria; Pseudomonadati; Pseudomonadota; Gammaproteobacteria; Oceanospirillales; Halomonadaceae
Description: partial 16S ribosomal RNA
Rfam family: Bacterial small subunit ribosomal RNA
Source: RNAcentral
CCUACGGGGGGCAGCAGUGGGGAAUAUUGGACAAUGGGGGCAACCCUGAUCCAGCCAUGCCGCGUGUGUGAAGAAGGCCCUCGGGUUGUAAAGCACUUUCAGUGAGGAAGAACGCCUGGUGGUUAAUACCCAUCAGGAAAGACAUCACUCACAGAAGAAGCACCGGCUAACUCCGUGCCAGCAGCCGCGGUAAUACGGAGGGUGCGAGCGUUAAUCGGAAUUACUGGGCGUAAAGCGCGCGUAGGUGGCUUGAUAAGCCGGUUGUGAAAGCCCCGGGCUCAACCUGGGAACGGCAUCCGGAACUGUCAAGCUAGAGUGCAGGAGAGGAAGGUAGAAUUCCCGGUGUAGCGGUGAAAUGCGUAGAGAUCGGGAGGAAUACCAGUGGCGAAGGCGGCCUUCUGGACUGACACUGACACUGAGGUGCGAAAGCGUGGAUAGCAAACAGGAUUAGAUACCCUUGUAGUC